This 473-nucleotide ribosomal RNA is filed under the name uncultured organism. Its description in RNAcentral is "partial 16S ribosomal RNA". It matches the Rfam family "Bacterial small subunit ribosomal RNA", at positions 333 to 797 of the family's 1533-position model. The record is from RNAcentral.
ACACUCCUGCGGGAGGCAGCAGUGGGGAAUAUUGCACAAUGGGCGCAAGCCUGAUGCAGCCAUGCCGCGUGUAUGAAGAAGGCCUUCGGGUUGUAAAGUACUUUCAGCGGGGAGGAAGGCAAUACGGUUAAUAACCGUGUUGAUUGACGUUACCCGCAGAAGAAGCACCGGCUAACUCCGUGCCAGCAGCCGCGGUAAUACGGAGGGUGCAAGCGUUAAUCGGAAUUACUGGGCGUAAAGCGCACGCAGGCGGUCUGUCAAGUCGGAUGUGAAAUCCCCGGGCUCAACCUGGGAACUGCAUUCGAAACUGGCAGGCUUGAGUCGUGUAGAGGGGGGUAGAAUUCCAGGUGUAGCGGUGAAAUGCGUAGAGAUCUGGAGGAAUACCGGUGGCGAAGGCGGCCCCCUGGACAAAGACUGACGCUCAGGUGCGAAAGCGUGGGGAGCAAACAGGAUUAGAAACCCCGGUAGUCCCA